UACGUAGGGGGCAAGCGUUGUCCGGAUUUAUUGGGCGUAAAGCGCGCGCAGGCGGCUCUUUAAGUCAGGUGUGAAAGGCUGCGGCUCAACCGCAGAGCUGCACCUGAAACUGGGGAGCUUGAGUACAGGAGAGGAGAGUGGAAUUCCCGGUGUAGCGGUGGAAUGCGUAGAGAUCGGGAGGAACACCAGUGGCGAAGGCGACUCUCUGGACUGUAACUGACGCUGAGGCGCGAAAGCGUGGGGAGCGAAC
Molecule: ribosomal RNA, 250 nt
Filed under: uncultured bacterium
Lineage: Bacteria
Description: partial 16S ribosomal RNA
Rfam family: Bacterial small subunit ribosomal RNA
Source: RNAcentral